Molecule: ribosomal RNA, 370 nt
Filed under: uncultured organism
Description: bacterial SSU rRNA
Rfam family: Bacterial small subunit ribosomal RNA
Source: RNAcentral
CGAAGGGGGCUAGCGUUGCUCGGAAUUACUGGGCGUAAAGGGCGCGUAGGCGGAUAUCUAAGUUGGGGGUGAAAUCCCGGGGCUCAACCUCGGAAUUGCCUUCAAAAACUGGAUAUCUUGAGUUCGGGAGAGGUGAGUGGAACUCCGAGUGUAGAGGUGAAAUUCGUAGAUAUUCGGAAGAACACCAGUGGCGAAGGCGACUCACUGGCCCGAUACUGACGCUGAGGCGCGAAAGCGUGGGGAGCAAACAGGAUUAGAUACCCUGGUAGUCCACGCUGUAAACGAUGAGUGCUAGUUGUCGGCAUGCAUGCAUGUCGGUGACGCAGCUAACGCAUUAAGCACUCCGCCUGGGGAGUACGGUCGCAAGAUU